UACGUAGGUGGCAAGCGUUGUCCGGAAUUACUGGGUGUAAAGGGUGCGCAGGCGGGACUGCAAGUUGGAUGUGAAAACUAUGGGCUCAACCCAUAGCCUGCAUCCAAAACUGUGGUUCUUGAGUGAAGUAGAGGUAGGCGGAAUUCCGAGUGUAGCGGUGAAAUGCGUAGAUAUUCGGAGGAACACCAGUGGCGAAGGCGGCCUACUGGGCUUUAACUGACGCUGAGGCACGAAAGCAUGGGGAGCAAACAGGAUUAGAUACCCUGGUAGUCCAUGCUGUAAACGAUGAUUGCUAGGUGUGGGGGGACUGACCCCUUCCGUGCCGGAGUAAACACAAUAAGCAAUCCACCUGGGGAGUACGGCCGCAAGGUUGAA
Molecule: ribosomal RNA, 375 nt
Filed under: uncultured bacterium
Lineage: Bacteria
Description: bacterial SSU rRNA
Rfam family: Bacterial small subunit ribosomal RNA
Source: RNAcentral